Molecule: long non-coding RNA, 398 nt
Filed under: Physcomitrium patens
Lineage: Eukaryota; Viridiplantae; Streptophyta; Bryopsida; Funariales; Funariaceae
Description: long non-coding RNA (PPAT_LNC004314)
Source: RNAcentral
GUGUUAGUUUUUAGACCUACUGUCACUCUUUGGGGAAUUCCGCACGCAUACAGAUAGCAAACGAGGAUCGGCGACUGCAGUUGAAGAGAACACUUUUUCGGCUACAAUUUAUGCCUAUUUUUUGUCAAAUUCCAAGCUUUGAUGAAGGAGAUAUUGGCAGUUGAAGUCAGCACUUGGAAUCUAAGGGUAGUAAGUAGCCCGAUUUACUUGUACUUGUGAUAUGAGCUAUAUCUUAGAAAAUUUGACGAGUUUCUGACUCAAAAUUUCUAGGAUUGUGUAUAAUCUUAUUAUAAAGCUUUCUACAUAAGUUUUGUGGAAUUUGGAGUUUGAAUUUUUGAGAUAUAGGGAAAAUAGUUUUUAGGUGCUUGUAAGUUAGGGUUAUGUACACUUGCUAGGGU